CAGCAGCCGCGGUAAUACGGAGGGUGCAAGCGUUAUCCGGAUUCACUGGGUUUAAAGGGUGCGUAGGCGGAUUCUUAAGUCCGUGGUGAAAUCUCCAAGCUUAGCUUGGAAGCUGCCAUGGAUACUAUUAGUCUUGAAUGUUGUGGAGGUUAGCGGAAUAUGUCAUGUAGCGGUGAAAUGCAUAGAUAUGACAUAGAGCACCAAUUGCGAAGGCAGCUGGCUACACAAAUAUUGACGCUGAGGCACGAAAGCGUGGGGAUCAAACAGGAUUAGAUACCCCAGUAGUCCCUGUCUCUUAUAC
Molecule: ribosomal RNA, 301 nt
Filed under: uncultured bacterium
Lineage: Bacteria
Description: partial 16S ribosomal RNA
Rfam family: Bacterial small subunit ribosomal RNA
Source: RNAcentral